AGCGAACGCUGGCGGUAGGCCUAACACAUGCAAGUCGAACGGAAGCACCGUAAGAGCUUGCUCUUACGGGUGGCGAGGGGCGGACGGGUGAGGAAUACAUCGGAAUCUUCUUUUUCGUGGGGGAUAACGGAGGGAAACCUACGCUAAUACCGCAUACGACCUACGGGUGAAAGCAGGGGAUUGUCGGGCCUGGUGGGAUUGAAUGCGCCGAUGUCGGAUUAGCUGGUUGGGGGGGGCAAGGCCAACCAAGGCGGCGAUCCGGAGCUGGUCAGAGAGGAUGGUCAGCCACACGGGAACGGAGACACGGACCAGACUCCUGAGAGACGCAGCAGUGGGGAAUAUGAGGCAGUGGUGGCAAGCCUGAUCCAGCCGUACCGCGUGGGAGAAGGAGACCCUCGGUUUGUGAAGACCUUUUGUGGGUAGAGAACCGCAGCCGGUUAAUACGCCGCGGUUCUGACGGUACCCAAAGAAGAAGCACCGGCUAACUACGUG
Molecule: ribosomal RNA, 492 nt
Filed under: uncultured bacterium
Lineage: Bacteria
Description: partial 16S ribosomal RNA
Rfam family: Bacterial small subunit ribosomal RNA
Source: RNAcentral